Molecule: ribosomal RNA, 866 nt
Filed under: uncultured bacterium
Lineage: Bacteria
Description: bacterial SSU rRNA
Rfam family: Bacterial small subunit ribosomal RNA
Source: RNAcentral
AGAACGAACGCUGGCGGCGUGCUUAACACAUGCAAGUCGAACGCGAAAGUUUUCUUCGGAAAGCGAGUAGAGUGGCGCACGGGUGAGUAACGCGUAAAUAAUCUACCCUUGCAUCUGGGAUAACCCACCGAAAGGUGUGCUAAUACCGGAUACGUUCUUUUAACCGCGAGGUUUUAAGAAGAAAGGUGGCCUCUGAUAUAAGCUACUGUGCAGGGAGGAGUUUGCGUACCAUUAGCUAGUUGGUAGGGUAGUGGCCUACCAAGGCAACGAUGGUUAGCGGGUCUGAGAGGACGAUCCGCCACACUGGAACUGGAACACGGACCAGACUCCUACGGGAGGCAGCAGUGAGGAAUAUUGCGCAAUGGGGGAAACCCUGACGCAGCGACGCCGCGUGGAUGAUGAAGGCCUUCGGGUCGUAAAAUCCUGUCAGAUGGAAAGAAGUGUAUAUGUGUUAAUAUCACAUAUAUUUGACGGUACCAUCAAAGGAAGCACCGGCUAACUCCGUGCCAGCAGCCGCGGUAAUACGGAGGGUGCAAGCGUUGUUCGGAAUUACUGGGCGUAAAGCGCGCGUAGGUGGUCUGUUAUGUCAGAUGUGAAAGUCCACGGCUCAACCGUGGAAGUGCAUUUGAAACUGGCAGACUUGAGUACUGGAGGGGGUAGUGGAAUUCCCGGUGUAGAGGUGAAAUUCGUAGAUAUCGGGAGGAAUACCGGUGGCGAANGCGACUACCUGGCCAGAUACUGACACUGANGUGCGAAAGCGUGGGGAGCGAACAGGAUUAGAUACCCUGGUAGUCCACGCCGUAAACGAUGUCAACUAGGUGUUGGGAUGGUUAAUCGUCUCAUUGCCGUAGCUAACGCAUUAAGUU